RNAcentral lists this unclassified non-coding RNA (387 nucleotides) under Hevea brasiliensis (rubber tree). The record is from RNAcentral. Lineage: Eukaryota; Viridiplantae; Streptophyta; Magnoliopsida; Malpighiales; Euphorbiaceae.
AAAUUUAUAAUUUUAAACAGCGGAGAGAACUUAAGAAGUCUUAGUUCACACAAACAUGGCACGUAACUAUCCCAGUGAAAGUUACAUACGGAUUUUACACAUGCUAUAUUUCUACAGUCUUAAAAAACUGAACCAUACCACACUGGUUUAUAUAGUUAAAUCAUGAACAAGUUCUACAAAAGAUCCACAAGCUAUGAAGAGCUAAGAGAAACAUAAUCUUAUUGGCUGGAAGACCCCAAAUCAUCCCUUAAAUCCUUCGCUUGAAUGUCAAGUAAAGCCAUAAAAUUUUACGUUUCAAGAGCACAGAUUGGACAACUCAUGAAAUAGCCCUACAAAUGGCCGGCAAAACGGUUGCUUCUUGUAGAAACACGCCUGAAGACAUGCAAC